AGCUCUAGAUGCUGGAAAGUCCAAGAUCAAUGUCCAGCAGGAUUCAGUUUCUGGAGAGCUGAAGUUGCAGGGCAAGCAAAUGAUCUGAGUUCCAAAGAGUGACAAGCUCUCUGAGGAGAAACAGUACACACAAAUUUUCACCUUUGGCAAGACAUGAGAGGAUGAGAUGGUCACCGUAGAAGUGGGUAGAAUCCAAAGAUAGUCUGAGAGCAAUCAAAGGUUGUGGUGAGGAACAUGGAUGUUGAAAUGGUGGAAACAUGGGUAUGACAGCCGAUUCUGCCCCUCACUAGCUCUGUAAUUUGCGUCCAGACUUUUUCCCAGACUCCCUCCCAG
Delphinapterus leucas (beluga whale) is the source of this 333-nucleotide long non-coding RNA. RefSeq lists it as uncharacterized. Lineage: Eukaryota; Metazoa; Chordata; Mammalia; Artiodactyla; Monodontidae. The record is from RefSeq and is a predicted model, not a curated record.